CCGCCAUGGAUCAGCCCCACCCCCAUGCCUCCGCCUCCCCCUCUCCGCGUGUGCCCCCACAUCCGUCCAAUCCGCCCGCGAAAGCAGCAGAUAGGCGACCUCCUAUGGCGACCCCAUCCACGCACGCCCAACCCCACCUUCGCAAAACCUCCACGCGCCAAUGCCUCAUCCACACAUGCGGAGCCCUGCCUCCGCGAAAUCCCCGCCCACCUGCGUCGGAUAGGCGACAUUCACAACCUCCGCGACCUGCUAUGGCGGCUCCGUGACAUCCACGCCGAUAACACUGCAUCCUCUGCCUCAGCCUCGUCCGUUGGGUGCCGCUCUGCUUCCCUUGUUGUCGUGCGUUGCACGAGUCGAGCGCACGCUGCUUGCUACUCGGCUGGUCGUCGAUGACCAUGGGGCACUUCGUCAACUCCAUGGAUCCAACGUCGGGGGUGUAGGUGAUCAGGGACUGGAACAACAUCGUCUAGGUCGUGCUCCGCUCGCCCAAGGGAGCUUCCGAGCGGGUAUGGACUGGCGGACUGUGAUGUCACCCUCUCCUCUCUUCAUCUUGUUGGGUGAUCGAUCGAAUCUGCAUUGCUUGUUUGGUCAUGGUUUUGACGGGUUUUGCCAUCUGGCUAGACUGCCUGAUUUGCUUCGCAGGUGAGCCUGUACGGCGGCCAGGUCGUCUCAUGGAGGAACGACCACGACGAGGAUCUCCUCUUCAUCAGCAGCAAGGCUGUAUAUUCCUGAAACCGACACCUGCGAAAAGAUAUGAGUUCAACCGGGCUGCAAAGAACAAAACUGAAUUGUAUUAAUUUAUAACUGACAUCAAGCGUCUUGUGGCAUCGUCAGCUACUAGAUAUGUAGAUGGCGCAUAAUGGUUUGAAUGGGGCACUGGCUUGGAGACCAAUCAAAAUCUAUAGGGCUCUCAAUGUCUGUACUAACUAUCCUUGUGUUCACAUAAAGUUAGAUUUCUCUAUCCUCGUAUUUGUUUGUUCUUGUACUAUGUAUUGUAUAGAGACAUUGAAGACUAAAGCCAUGAAUUUGUUUUCUCAUUUA
This is a long non-coding RNA of Zea mays, 1041 nucleotides long. RefSeq lists it as uncharacterized. The record is from RefSeq and is a predicted model, not a curated record. The transcript is spliced from 2 exons. NCBI's taxonomy places the organism in Eukaryota, Viridiplantae, Streptophyta, Magnoliopsida, Poales, Poaceae.